This 994-nucleotide unclassified non-coding RNA is filed under the name Hevea brasiliensis (rubber tree). Lineage: Eukaryota; Viridiplantae; Streptophyta; Magnoliopsida; Malpighiales; Euphorbiaceae. The record is from RNAcentral.
AAAGAGGAGGUUGUAGCACGCAGGCAAAGGAAACUACUCGAUAGGCAUGCCCGGCAAAAGUUUUUGGAAGAGGCAGCCCUUCGAGAAGCUGAACUUCUACAAGAGCUAGAUAGAGAGAGGAUGGCUGAAGUAGAAAAGGAGAUUGAGAGACAACGUAUACUGGAGCUUGAACGUACAAAAACCAGGGAGUUGCGACACAGCCUUGAUCUAGAGAAAGAAAAGCAAGCGCAGAGAGAACUGCAACGAGAACUUGAGCAAGUUGAAUCUGGAGUUCGAUCGAGACGAGAUUUUUCAUCCACAAAUAGUGGUAGGCCGCGAGAAAGAUACCGUGAAAGGGAAAUGGGAAGAGCAGGUAAUGAAGGGACCAGAACAAGUACAGGGAUGACACAGCCUGAAACUGCGACGAGCUCAUCAAUGGUAACCAUGCCUACUGUUGUUCUAUCAGGGGCUAGGCAGUUCUCUGGCCAACAUCCAACUAUUCUACAAUCACGCGACAGAGAUGAAUGUGGCAGUAGCUAUGAAGAAAACUUUGAUGGUAGUAAAGACUCAGGGGACACAGGGAGUAUUGGGGACGCAGACCUGGUAUCAGCACUUGAGGGUCCGUCCAUGAACUUUGGGUCGUCUCAAAGGCAUGGUCCCCGGGGGAGUAAGCCUAGGCAAAUUGUGGAACGAAGAGAACGAGAUGGUAGAAGGGAAAGUAAAUGGGAGAGAAAACAUUAAAUAAGCAUCAACAAGAUUAGUCGCAUUACCUACCAAGUAGUAGUGCUAUAGGAUGGUUAUAAAUUUUUGGAUAACCAGAUUUAUCUGUGUUAGCCAGAAUGUUGUUGUAGGUAUAUAUUUAUCUAUAUAGGAAGAAGCUCAAGGAAGGUGGUAAAUUUGCAGCAUUGUUCUCAUAGUAAGCUAGGGAGUAACUAGUCGAGCUUCAGGCCGUUUUGUAUAAGUAAUUGUACCAUUAUCUAUUGUAAUGACAUGUGACUUUUAUAUUCAAGAUUUU